GAUUCACCAGGUGCACCGCUGAAUGAAG
This 28-nucleotide small RNA is filed under the name Bombyx mori (domestic silkworm). RNAcentral's name for it is "ovarian small RNA-16185". The record is from RNAcentral. Lineage: Eukaryota; Metazoa; Arthropoda; Insecta; Lepidoptera; Bombycidae.